AGCCUUCGCUAAAGGAUUGGCCUAUGUCCUAUCAGCUUGUUGGUGAGGUAAUGGCUCACCGAGGCUAUGACGGGUAUCCGGCCUGAGAGGGUGAUCGGACACACUGGAACUGAGACACGGUCCAGACUCCUACGGGAGGCAGCAGUAGGGAAUAUUGCUCAAUGGGGGAAACCCUGAAGCAGCAACGCCGCGUGGAGGAUGAAGGUUUUAGGAUUGUAAACUCCUUUUGUAAGAGAAGAUUAUGACGGUAUCUUACGAAUAAGCACCGGCUAACUCCGUGCCAGCAGCCGCGGUAAUACGGAGGGUGCAAGCGUUACUCGGAAUCACUGGGCGUAAAGAGCGCGUAGGCGGGUAGUCAAGUCAGAUGUGAAAUCCUAUAGCUUAACUACAGAACUGCAUUUGAAACUGACUAUCUAGAGUAUGGGAGAGGUAGGUGGAAUUCUUGGUGUAGGGGUAAAAUCCGUAGAGAUCAAGAGGAAUACUCAUUGCGAAGGCGACCUGCUGGAACAUUACUGACGCUGAUGCGCGAAAGCGUGGGGAGCAAACAGGAUUAGAUACCCUGGUAGUCCACGCCCUAAACGAUGAAUGCUAGUUGUUGUGAGGCUUGUCCUUGCAGUAAUGCAGCUAACGCAUUAAGCAUUCCGCCUGGGGAGUACGGUCGCAAGAUUAAAACUCAAAGGAAUAGACGGGGACCCGCACAAGCGGUGGAGCAUGUGGUUUAAUUCGAAGAUACGCGAAGAACCUUACCUAGGCUUGACAUUGAUAGAAUCUACUAGAGAUAGUGGAGUGCUGGCUUGCCAGAGCUUGAAAACAGGUGCUGCACGGCUGUCGUCAGCUCGUGUCGUGAGAUGUUGGGUUAAGUCCCGCAACGAGCGCAACCCUCGUCCUUAGUUGCUAGCAGUUCGGCUGAGCACUCUAAGGAGACUGCCUUCGUAAGGAGGAGGAAGGUGAGGACGACGUCAAGUCAUCAUGGCCCUUACGCCUAGGGCUACACACGUGCUACAAUGGGGUGCACAAAGAGAUGCAAUACUGUGAAGUGGAGCCAAUCUCAAAAACAUCUCUCAGUUCGGAUUGUAGUCUGCAACUCGACUACAUGAAGCUGGAAUCGCUAGUAAUCGUGAAUCAGCCAUGUCACGGUGAAUACGUUCCCGGGUCUUGUACUCACCGCCCGUCACACCAUGGGAGUUGUAUUCGCCUUAAGUCGGGAUACUAAAUUGGUUACCGCCCACGGCGGAUGCAGCGACUGGGGGAAGUCGUAACAAGGUAACCGUAGGGAACCUGCGGCUGGAUCACCUCCUU
RNAcentral lists this ribosomal RNA (1299 nucleotides) under Helicobacter sp. 'MZ 640285'. RNAcentral describes it as "16S ribosomal RNA". It matches the Rfam family "Bacterial small subunit ribosomal RNA", at positions 210 to 1532 of the family's 1533-position model. Lineage: Bacteria; Pseudomonadati; Campylobacterota; Epsilonproteobacteria; Campylobacterales; Helicobacteraceae. The record is from RNAcentral.